This 89-nucleotide non-coding RNA is filed under the name chicken gut metagenome. RNAcentral describes it as "NiCo riboswitch". It matches the Rfam family "NiCo (Nickel/Cobalt) riboswitch aptamer". The record is from RNAcentral.
ACAGUACAAACUGAACAGGCCAUAAAUUAUUUGAUUUAUGGGGCCGGGCCGUUUUUCGGCAGCAGAUGAAUGCACAUCUGUGGGACAGU